AACCUAGCACACCUGCGGUGUGUACCUGCGGAGGGAUCAUUACAGAGUGUAAAAACUCCCAAAACCCAUGUGAACAUACCUUUUUGUUGCUUCGGCGGGAUCGCCCCGGGCGCCUUGUGUGCCCCGGAGUCAGGCGCCCGCCGGGGGACCCAAACUCUUGUUUUUAACGAGUAUCUUCUGAGUAACGUUUUUAAAUAAAUAAAAACUUUCAGCAACGGAUCUCAGAUCGGAAGAGCACAC
This 240-nucleotide unclassified non-coding RNA is filed under the name soil metagenome. RNAcentral's name for it is "partial contains 5.8S ribosomal RNA, internal transcribed spacer 2, and large subunit ribosomal RNA". The record is from RNAcentral.